This 497-nucleotide ribosomal RNA is filed under the name uncultured bacterium. Its description in RNAcentral is "partial 16S ribosomal RNA". It matches the Rfam family "Bacterial small subunit ribosomal RNA", at positions 28 to 507 of the family's 1533-position model. The record is from RNAcentral.
GAUGAACGCUGGCGGCGUGCCUAAUACAUGCAAGUCGAGCGAACGGACGAGAAGCUUGCUUCUCUGAUGUUAGCGGCGGACGGGUGAGUAACACGUGGAUAACCUACCUAUAAGACUGGGAUAACUUCGGGAAACCGGAGCUAAUACCGGAUAAUAUUUUGAACCGCAUGGUUCAAAAGUGAAAGACGGUCUUGCUGUCACUUAUAGAUGGAUCCGCGCUGCAUUAGCUAGUUGGUAAGGUAACGGCUUACCAAGGCAACGAUGCAUAGCCGACCUGGGAGGGUGAUAGGCCACACUGGAACUUGGCCACGGUCCAGGCUCCUACGGGAGGCAGCAGUAGGGAAUCUUCCGCAAUGGGCGAAAGCCUGACGGAGCAACGCCGCGUGAGUGAUGAAGGUCUUCGGAUCGUAAAACUCUGUUAUUAGGGAAGAACAUAUGUGUAAGUAACUGUGCACAUCUUGACGGUACCUAAUCAGAAAGCCACGGCUAACUACGUG